Molecule: small RNA, 473 nt
Filed under: Pongo abelii (Sumatran orangutan)
Lineage: Eukaryota; Metazoa; Chordata; Mammalia; Primates; Hominidae
Description: retained intron
Source: RNAcentral
UCAGUAGGGAAAUGCUUACAGCUGCCUCUAGAAGCAAGUCCGCUUGCUGCAUGGAGAGGGAAACAUGAGCAUGCAGCAGGACUAGCUGUCACCUCCCGCCCGCCUGCCCAGAGAGGGCCAGAGCGUCGGGGAGGCAAGAUGAUCCACCAACGGUGCCAUCCUGCACUUGGAUGCAGUAAGCUGUGAGGUCCGCAAUGUCAGACACUGGCAAACAUCACAUGUUCUUCAAGUAGAGUUAUGAAAACGGAGAAACCGGUCGGAAGAGUAAAACGCCGGAAUUGUCCUUUCCAAGAUCCAGAGCUGCAACAUUCCUUGGGGCAAAAUGUGGACAAGGGUGAGUACUGAUAGAAAAAAACAGACAAUUUGUGAUUCCCCUUCUUCCAGUUUGCUCAGCCUAAAUUCUCUGCAAUAAUAAUACAAAUCAUGUUUUUUUGUCAUACAGGCCUGCAACUAACAUUUGGGGAAAAUACUGU